RNAcentral lists this non-coding RNA (79 nucleotides) under Thiocapsa sp. RNAcentral describes it as "c-di-GMP sequence". It matches the Rfam family "c-di-GMP-I riboswitch aptamer". Rfam says of the family: GEMM was predicted in a large-scale screen for bacterial structured RNA regulatory elements. Lineage: Bacteria; Pseudomonadati; Pseudomonadota; Gammaproteobacteria; Chromatiales; Chromatiaceae. The record is from RNAcentral.
ACAUGACAGCGCCAUACCUACCGUAAGGUAGGGACGGAACGUCACGGAUCCUGGUGCUCAGGAAAGCCGGACUGCCGAG